CUGCAGAUCACACCUAUGAAUGUCAAGGCGACCGCGGCGCAACGCAACAUAGCACCAGAACCUCCCGAUAGCUCAAUUGUGUUCGACUUGAAUUUAUACGUCUCCGAUGCAAGACUCAUCUGACUUACGGUGCACAUUUGACUUUUUUUCUCUGCUCAUCUCCGUGUUUCAGUCGUGGAUUAUUAACUUACCAGACACUAUUUUAAGGUGGUCAAUUGAUGUAUUUGUUUUGAUAUGGUUUUAGUUUUAAACGUGGUAGAGCUGUAAUUUGGAAUCCUGGGUAUCUUUUUAGAAUUCUCGCCUCAUAUCUGUAAAUUAUGUUGAGAUAUGUCAGAUGGACUCUAUUUUAACAAUGUCCUCUGUAAAUGUUCAUCUCGCACAUUGUCUGUUGUGUACCUGUCAAGUUUCCGUAGCUCCUUCCGGUUUGCCCUCGCCCAGUGGGCUGGCUUUGGGACGUCACGAAGGGAGCAGAGGUGCAGAAAGAACAAUCUGAAGACCCUGUAGUCUGUGCCUUCAUUGGCUAAUUGAUCUAAUUAUUACAACGAACACUGGCAGGAGCAGCCUAUAGCCAGGAAAGCAGCAAGAUUUGUCAGUGCAACAUCAAGCCUCCCAGGCGUCCCCACGGUUGGGUCAACGCGGGAGGCGCCAUCAAGCCCGCACCCGUGAAUGACAAGGCGACUGUAGCUCCAGCGCAGCAUAACACUGGCCGUCCGCACAAGAGCAGAGAUGCAGAAAGAACAAUCUGAAGACACUGUAGUCUGUGCCUUCUGUAGGCAAACAAAUGCUGGAAAACCACCCACUAGAUCACGUCUUCCUUUACGCCCUCAUCCCAUCGUCGCACUGGUGCCGUGACCCUUUGGAUCCUCAGAUCAGCUCCAUGCUGUCGUUGUGGCUGCUGUUGUGGAUCCAAACUGGAUACAAGAAAAUCUUUCCCUUGAUCCCGUCUCAGUUUCUCACUCUGACAUCAUAUGGGGUCCAUCAUGACUUGGCGCACACGCACAGGUUGUUAUUUAUUGAUUUCCUCCCUGACCUUAGUGAAUGAAUGAGGCAAAACGCUGCUUAGGUAGGAGCACCCCUGCUGAGUGUAGGCCGUCCUUAAUGCAAAUCAGGACUCAUUCAGUAUGUUUACAUGCACAGCUUAAUCAAGCUAUGCUCAAAAUUUAUCAUCAGCUGUAACAACUCUAAUAGCCUACUUACGUUAACUGUGUAAUUAGCAUUUACUAACUUCCGAUACAGUACUGUACAGGACAUGCAAAAAACGUCAAUAUUAACACUUUUAAAGUGUCUAUAUGGGUUCACACUAUUAACACUCCUGUGUUGUUAUUGACUCUUUUUAUAGUUAAAAUUAAACACUUCUCAACACUAACCCGUGUUAGUUUCUCUCAACAGUACUGUAUGUGUUAGAGAUAAACUUCCUCAUAUUGUCAAUUGUUAACUACUACAGGUGUUUGCCUCAUUCGUUCACUAACUUCAUAAAUAAUAAGUUGUACAUGUGUGCCAGGUCAUGACGCACACACAUAAAACAGAGCUGUUCUUGGUUCUGGAGCAGCAGUAGAGAUCCAUUAGAGACAAUGGAUGUUAAAAUGUUCUACUGGACCCCAGAUGUUGUCGGAGUUCUUUUGCAUAUAGAGCGCAAAACUGAGAUGUGAUCAAGAGAAGCAUUGGGUUGUCCCCAGUUUGGGGCCUGGAUCUCCUGUUUUUUCCUCUUCAUUCAGGGUCUUCCCAACCGUUGCUCUUGUUCCUGAUGAACCGUUCUUAGUCUGACCCUUCACCUAGGUCCAACCUGCCUUUGGAGACGGCAUAGCCCCCAGGGUCAUUAGGGCACUCAAAUUCCUCCACCACGGUUCAAGGAGGAGAAAAUACUAAAAGGGCCACUAAUGGCCUUCCACUGGAUUGGCUGGGCGCUACACAGUAAGCAUGAGCUUGGUGUCUUCAGGAGACUGAGACCUCCACCUGCAGCCACAGUGAGCUGAUCAUCUGGCUGUUGGCUUGAACAGACCAGAGUCAGCGGAGGAGGUUGGACCUUCCAGCCCAACCUCUAAACUGUUGGUGACUAUGAGUAACAGGUCCUAUAUGAAAACUCCUGCUGGUAAUUUCAUGAUGUCAUGAUGACAUCAUCAGCAAUGUCAUCAUGACAUCAUCAGGAACAAAAACAGCCAAGCUCAUUUGUUUUUUUUUUCCCCUGAUGAUGUCAUCAUAGUUUCGCUAUGACAUCACUGGGAACUGAUUAUGACAGCGAUGACAUGAUGUCGCAAUGUAUUGAUAAGCUGCUGCACCUGUGUAGCUUAGCAAGACAAACACACAGUGAUUGACCAUUAGUGUUUGUUUGUGGCAGAAAGAACAAUUUGAGGACAAUGUAUGUGCCCAUGUCUUCAGCGGGCAGAUAAAUGCUGGAAAACCACACCUGGGAUCAUGUCUUCCUCUGCACCCUCAUCACAUCCAUUACACCACGUGCUAAAUGACUUUUCUUCUCAUCUCAGAUGCCGCAGUCUUUAGUUUUACUGUUGGCUGUUAACAUGAGCUGUCACGCUCUUUAAUUUCAUCAUGUCAUGUUUUAACCUCACGCCUCCUCACAUGGUGCUGGACCCUACCUACGCUGACUGCAGCGCUCAGCCUCCAAAGGCAAACUCCCUGCUCCAAGGCACUGGUUGAGGACCUGAAGGAAGGAGGAACAUGCAGUGGAGAGACUGAGCUUGGGAAAACUAGGAAAGUUUAUCCACAGGCUGGAUGCCUAUCAAUGCAACAUCAAGUCUAGAGCUGGAUGGAUACGAGGGGAGUGGAAGAGGUUUCCAAGAAGAGCCCCAGGAUCCCACUGAUGAUAAAGGAGCAACUACUCCCACUCUGGACAUUAGUGCGUACUUCAGGAGCAGGGACCUGAAGGCACCAGGAGCCCCAGAAAAGACUUGCUUACUCCUGGCAUCAUAGUGGCCAGAGGAGCAGCCACAGGUAGAAGGUAAGUAAGUUCUUAAUUCUCUCAUCUUCACUGGAGACUCCAGGACCUGAAUGCAACACAAACCACAACGACAAGAGUUCCAGGAUCCCAGAGGAGAAGCUAUUGUGACAGACAAUACAAGCAAGGAAUGCAGAGGGUGACCUAGCACAGAGAACACCAAGGAGGUACAUGGAGAGGAGGAGCAUCUGGAGGACACCACAAACCACAAAGCCACCUUCAACCCACCCCCGUGAGGAAAACGCACCAAUGGCCUGGAGCAGCUGGGACCCAUUUUAGAAAACCUAUUUUAAUGCUACAGCAUUUAUUAUUUUCAUUAUUGUUAUUAUUUAGAAGGCAAAUCCUGAAAUUAGAAUGUGCUUUGCUGAGGGAGCAGAGGUACAGAAACCAGCUGAAGACCAUCUCUGCGUCUCUGUCUUCUUCAGGCAAACAAAGGCUGGUAAACCACUCUCUGGAUCGUGUCUUCCUCUACGCCCUCAUCCCAUCCGUGACACCGGUGCUGUGAUCCUUUGGAUCUUCAGAUCAGGUCCAUGUUGUCGUUGGCUACCCUUCCACAUCGCCACAUACUCAGGUUUAUAGAAGACUGUUGACGAGGGUGCAGUGUCUCUGUUUACGUUGCUAUCACAAAAGGACUAGAACACUGGUGCCUUUGGAGUCAGUGAGUGAGGACAAUGUAUGUGUCCAUGUCUUCUGUGGCCAAAUAAAUGCUGGAAAACUUCACCUUGGAUUGUGUCUUUCUCUACGCCCUCAUCACAUCUAUUACAACAUGUGCUAAAUGACCUUUCUGCUGAACGUAGAUGUCACAGUGUUUAGUUUUCUGUUGGUUAUUAGUGUGAGCCAUCACACUGUUUAAAUUCCAUCGUGUUUCAACCUCACGUGUCCUCAUGGGCUAUGGGACCCUUUCUACGCUGACUGCAACGCUCACCCUCCAAAGACAAGCUCCCUGCUCCAGGGUACUGGUUGAGGACCUGAAGAUCAAGUGUGCACACUGUGUCUUAACCAAGGCAUGACCUCAGCAUAUUGUCUAGGAUUCCAGACACAUGAAGCAGCCUACAUAUUGUCAUAGUUUAUCCCCUUUUUUAAAGAUGCCAUUUCAGUUCUCAGAUCACAGUUUUUUUUUUUUGUUUUUUUUUUUUAACCUACUGGUAAGUUGAACUCAGCAUUUCCAGUAAAU
Molecule: long non-coding RNA, 4124 nt
Organism: Mugil cephalus (flathead mullet)
Lineage: Eukaryota; Metazoa; Chordata; Actinopteri; Mugiliformes; Mugilidae
Exons: 7
Source: RefSeq, a predicted model, not a curated record